CCAGAAAUGUACAUGUAAAGGCAUAUGUCAAUUACAGAGGGAAAAUACGAGUUAUAUAACAAUAUUAGCAAGAAGUAAUUUCAAUCGAGACACCAACAUUCUUAUUUUUUGCACUAACUUUAGAAACCAAUACAAUGAAAUUACUAGAAUUACUUACAAAUUUAAGUGUUAAGUCAAAAUAAAGAUUCUCGACAUUGCUGUUAACUGGGUUUGGUUAUUGAGGCCUAAGGAGCAGGGAUAAGGAUAAGACACAGUUAUAUGAAUGUAUUUACAGCAAGAAGGGACAAAGAAAAGGGGGUGGGGGAGAGGAUUGAGCAAACAUAUUCUAAACAAUUUAAAAAAAAUACCAACCAGUUUCUAGUAGCCAAAAUAUUAAUAACUAUAGCUACAUGAAAUAUUGGUGGAAUACAUUCACGGAAAAUAAUAACAAACAUACUGAAAUAGCAAGUUUAACUUGAAAAUUUACCAAAUUAUAAGGUUCAUUGCAAUCUGUCAUUAGAUAAUUAUAGGGACAAUAUCUCAUCAUGUUUCAGGAAGAAGCUGAAUUAAAAUAGUAGUAGCCACUGUUUGAGAGUGUAACUUCCACUAAUCUUAAGCAGACCAAGGCAUUUGAUAUAUCCUGGCACUUUUGAAUAUUUGGAUCAUGCUGUUAUUAGAGAUACUGCUGUUGGGUUAGAGUUUUUGUGUCAGUAGAGAUAUGCAUGUUUUUUUAUAACGCACCUAUUACUAUCACUUGUAUCAUGUGUUAAAGGUACACUAUAGGCACCAAAACAACUCUAGCGUAAUUAAGCAGUUUUGGUGUGUAGAUCAUACUCCUGCAGUCUUACUGCUCAAUUUUCUGUCAUGUAGUAGUUAAAUGACUUUAUUUAUGAAGCCCUAGUCAUCUCCCUGCAUAUGACUUACACGGUUUUCCUAGACACAGUCUGUAAAGAGAGAUCUAAUGUCUAAACUUCAUUUAUUGCACAUUCUGUUUAAUCUAGAAUUUCUUAUCUCCUGGCCUGCAGAACACAAGAUAAAAAACAUCUAAAGCAAGUUAAUAUCUGAUAAUGAAACAGUUUUUCUUCAUGCAGGCUGUGAAAGUCAAAGCCUGGGGAGGUGUGGUUAGGGCUGCAUGGACACAAACAAAAUUUCUAAAUGACUCAUACACACAUCUGGUCUGAGGUCUGUGUGUGAAGAGGCAGAGAAUGAGCAUGCCUGCUGUAAGCAGAGGAGCUAACAGAAGGAGGCUGCAAACAUUCAUGGUUCCCUGGUUAAUUUGCAAAAGUGCCACAGAACAGCAAUAUUACAAGUUAAGUCUUAAUUACUUGCUAAACACACUUUCUAUCUGGUUGCAUGGUAUACGGAUUGCAUAUACGACCACUCCACACCCCAAAAGCACUUCAGCUGGGGUUACAGGACCACUCCACACCCACAAAGCACUAUAAGCAAUAUGUAUGCCAUACAACCAAAUAAAGAGUGUGUGUAGCAAGUAAUUAAGACUUAACUUAUUAUAAUACU
Molecule: non-coding RNA, 1497 nt
Organism: Pelobates cultripes (western spadefoot toad)
Lineage: Eukaryota; Metazoa; Chordata; Amphibia; Anura; Pelobatidae
Source: the annotation of a GenBank genome assembly